AGAGUUUGAUCCUGGCUCAGGAUGAACGCUAGCUACAGGCUUAACACAUGCAAGUCGAGGGGAAACGAUAGAGAAAGCUUGCUUUUUCUAGGCGUCGACCGGCGCACGGGUGAGUAACGCGUAUCCAACCUGCCCACCACUUGGGAAUAACCUUGCGAAAGUAAGACUAAUACCCAAUGAUAUCUCUAGAAGACAUCUGAAGGAGAUUAAAGAUUUAUCGGUGAUGGAUGGGGAUGCGUCUGAUUAGCUUGUUGGCGGGGUAACGGCCCACCAAGGCGACGAUCAGUAGGGGUUCUGAGAGGAAGGUCCCCCACAUUGGAACUGAGACACGGUCCAAACUCCUACGGGAGGCAGCAGUGAGGAAUAUUGGUCAAUGGGCGAGAGCCUGAAUCAGCCAAGUAGCGUGCAGGAAGACGGCCCUAUGGGUUGUAAACUGCUUUUAUAAGGGAAUAAAGUGAGUCUCGUGAGACUUUUUGCAUGUACCUUAUGAAUAAGGACCGGCUAAUUCCGUGCCAGCAGCCGCGGUAAUACGGAAGGUCCGGGCGUUAUCCGGAUUUAUUGGGUUUAAAGGGAGCGUAGGCCGGAGAUUAAGCGUGUUGUGAAAUGUAGACGCUCAACGUCUGCACUGCAGCGCGAACUGGUUUCCUUGAGUACGCACAAAGUGGGCGGAAUUCGUGGUGUAGCGGUGAAAUGCUUAGAUAUCACGAAGAACUCCGAUUGCGAAGGCAGCUCACUGGAGCGCAACCGACGCUGAAGCUCGAAAGUGCGGGUAUCGAACAGGAUUAGAUACCCUGGUAGUCCGCACGGUAAACGAUGGAUGCCCGCUGUUGGUCUGAAUAGGUCAGCGGCCAAGCGAAAGCAUUAAGCAUCCCACCUGGGGAGUACGCCGGCAACGGUGAA
This 900-nucleotide ribosomal RNA is filed under the name uncultured bacterium. RNAcentral's name for it is "bacterial SSU rRNA". It matches the Rfam family "Bacterial small subunit ribosomal RNA", at positions 8 to 898 of the family's 1533-position model. The record is from RNAcentral.